UGAGUAACACGUGGGGAACCUGCCCCUAAGUCUGGGAUACCAUUUGGAAACAGGUGCUAAUACCGGAUAAUAAAGCAGAUCGCAUGAUCAGCUUUUGAAAGGCGGCGUAAGCUGUCGCUAAGGGAUGGCCCCGCGGUGCAUUAGCUAGUUGGUAAGGUAACGGCUUACCAAGGCGACGAUGCAUAGCCGAGUUGAGAGACUGAUCGGCCACAUUGGGACUGAGACACGGCCCAAACUCCUACGGGAGGCAGCAGUAGGGAAUCUUCCACAAUGGACGCAAGUCUGAUGGAGCAACGCCGCGUGAGUGAAGAAGGUUUUCGGAUCGUAAAGCUCUGUUGUUGGUGAAGAAGGAUAGAGGUAGUAACUGGCCUUUAUUUGACGGUAAUCAACCAGAAAGUCACGGCUAACUACGUGCCAGCAGCCGCGGUAAUACGUAGGUGGCAAGCGUUGUCCGGAUUUAUUGGGCGUAAAGCGAGCGCAGGCGGAAAAAUAAGUCUAAUGUGAAAGCCCUCGGCUUAACCGAGGAACUGCAUCGGAAACUGUUUUUCUUGAGUGCAGAAGAGGAAAGUGGAAACUCCAUGUGUAGCGGUGGAAUGCGUAGAUAUAUGGAAGAACACCAGUGGCGAAGGCGGCUCUCUGGUCUGCAACUGAC
This 652-nucleotide ribosomal RNA is filed under the name uncultured bacterium. Its description in RNAcentral is "bacterial SSU rRNA". It matches the Rfam family "Bacterial small subunit ribosomal RNA", at positions 107 to 744 of the family's 1533-position model. The record is from RNAcentral.